GAUUAACGCUGGCGGCGUGCAUAACACAUGCAAGUCGAACGAUGAAACUUAAAUGAUUUCUUCGGAAUGAACUUAAGUGGAUUAGUGGCGGACGGGUGAGUAACGCGUGAGUAACCUGCCUUACACAAGGGGAUAGCCGUUGGAAACGACGAAUAAUACCCUAUGAAACUAUCACUUCGCAUGAAGCGAUAGUCAAAGUGUUAGCGGUGUAAGAUGGACUUGCGUCUGAUUAGCUAGUUGGUGAGAAAAAAGCCCACCAAGGCAACGAUCAGUAGCCGGCUUGAGAGAGUGUACGGCACCAUUGGGACUGAGACACGGCCCAGACUCCUACGGGAGGCAGCAGUGGGGAAUUUUGCACAAUGGGGGAAACCCUGAUGCAGCGACGCCGCGUGAUUUAGAAGGCCUUCGGGUUGUAAAAAUCUUUUGUAUAGGAAGAAAAUGACAGUACUAUACGAAUAAGGUCCGGCUAAUUACGUG
This 477-nucleotide ribosomal RNA is filed under the name uncultured bacterium. RNAcentral's name for it is "partial 16S ribosomal RNA". It matches the Rfam family "Bacterial small subunit ribosomal RNA", at positions 28 to 507 of the family's 1533-position model. The record is from RNAcentral.